UGCUGGUGCAGUGGUGUUUACAACUAAUCGAUCACAAACCCGUUAUAGAUUUUUUUUUGUUCCGUCUCCACUUCCACUGCUUCACUUGACUAGAAAAGA
Molecule: non-coding RNA, 99 nt
Filed under: Carlito syrichta (Philippine tarsier)
Lineage: Eukaryota; Metazoa; Chordata; Mammalia; Primates; Tarsiidae
Source: RNAcentral